This 603-nucleotide ribosomal RNA is filed under the name Triticum aestivum (bread wheat). RNAcentral describes it as "partial small subunit ribosomal RNA". The record is from RNAcentral. Lineage: Eukaryota; Viridiplantae; Streptophyta; Magnoliopsida; Poales; Poaceae.
AUGCGUGUGUUCGGACUCGCUGCCAUCGAGAGGGCACGGUGGAGACAGGCCUCGCACGUCACCUGGUUGCACGCGGGCGAUGCAAAGCUAGCAUUCUUCCAGGCAAAGAUCAACUCGCAGCGUCAAAAAAACUUCACCCAUGCCCUGCACACCCAAGACUCCGUCGCCACUUCCCACGGCGACAAAGAACGGAUCAUCCAUGAGCACUUCCGAUCCACGCUGGGAUCGACAUCGCCGCAUACCCAUUCCAUCAACUGGGAGUCCAUCCAGCUGCUGUCCCUGCCGACAGUCGGCCUCGACAACCCAUUCACCAAGGACGAGGUGUGGGCUGCGAUCUGCAAGUACCUGCAGGAGAAGGCACCGGGCCCGGACGGCUUCAAUGGCACCUUCUUCCGCUCGUGUUGGUCCAUCAUCAAGACCGAUGUCAUGGCAGCCUUCCACCAAUUCUACAACCUCUCCGGUGGUGAUUUGUCGAUGAUUAACAACGCCAUGAUCAUCCUCCUGCCAAAGAAAGAUGGGGCAACGGAGAUCUCCCAUUUCCGACCAAUCAGUUUGAACCACUCGGUAGCCAAGCUAAUCUCCAAAGUUCAUCCAUUAGACUAG